GCCCGCCUAGCUCAAUCGGAUAGAGCGUCAGACUCUUAAGGCGGGUUCUCCGGGAUAAUCUCGGGGUUAGAACAUGGUCAUGUGAUCUGAAGGCUGCGAGUUCGACCCUCGCGGUGGGCU
RNAcentral lists this transfer RNA (120 nucleotides) under Fibroporia radiculosa. It matches the Rfam family "tRNA". Rfam says of the family: Transfer RNA (tRNA) molecules are approximately 80 nucleotides in length. The record is from Rfam by way of RNAcentral. Lineage: Eukaryota; Fungi; Basidiomycota; Agaricomycetes; Polyporales; Fibroporiaceae.